CCCUUAGAGUUUGAUCCUGGCUCAGGAUGAACUCUAGCGGCAGGCUUAACACAUGCAAGUCGAGGGGCAGCAUGACACAGAGAUUCGUCGAAGUGUUGAUGGCGACCGGCGCAAGGGUGCGUAACGCGUGAGCAACUUGCCCUUAUCAGGGGGAUAACCGUUGGAAACGACGACUAAUACCCCAUGGUAUCAUUAGUAGGCAUCUACAGAUGAUUAAAGAAUUUCGGAUAAGGAUAGGCUCGCGUGACAUUAGCUAGACGGCGGGGUAACGGCCCACCGUGGCAACGAUGUCUAGGGGUUCUGAGAGGAAGGUCCCCCACACUGGAACUGAGACACGGUCCAGACUCCUACGGGAGGCAGCAGUGGGGAAUAUUGGGCAAUGGGCGAAAGCCUGACCCAGCAACGCCGCGUGAGGGAAGAAGGGUUUCGGCUCGUAAACCUCUGUCCUAUGGGACGAAGGAAGUGACGGUACCAUAGGAGGAAGCCCCGGCUAACUACGUGCCAGCAGCCGCGGUAAUACGUAGGGGGCGAGCGUUGUCCGGAAUGAUUGGGCGUAAAGGGCGCGUAGGCGGCCCGUUAAGUCUGGAGUGAAAGUCCUGCUUUCAAGGUGGGAAUUGCUUUGGAUACUGACGGGCGGUGAGUGCAGGAGAGGUAAGUGGAAUUCCCAGUGUAGCGGUGAAAUGCGUAGAGAUUGGGAGGAACACCAGUGGCGAAGGCGACUUACUGGACUGUAACUGACGCUGAGGCGCGAAAGUGUGGGGAGCAAACAGGAUUAGAUACCCUGGUAGUCCACACUGUAAACGAUG
RNAcentral lists this ribosomal RNA (806 nucleotides) under uncultured bacterium. RNAcentral describes it as "bacterial SSU rRNA". It matches the Rfam family "Bacterial small subunit ribosomal RNA", at positions 1 to 811 of the family's 1533-position model. The record is from RNAcentral.